AUGACCAUUCCUAUAUUCUGAGAUUCAGGAAUGUGGUUAGCUAACGCGGUAAAUGUCCGCCUCAGAGUCGAUCGCAAGAUUAAACUCAAAGGAAUAGACGGGGCUCACACAAGUGGUGGAACAUGUGUUUAUUCGAUACUACGCGCAUACCUUACCAGUUCUUGACAUGAUCCCUAUGGAUCACAGGUGUUGCAUGGCUGUCGUCAGUCUCGUGUGGUGACAUGUUGGAUUAAUUUCCCGAACGAGCGAAACCCUGCCACAUUGCACUAUACACACGUACGUCAAUGUGGACCGCCAGUGAGAGACUGGAGGCAGGAUGGGAUGACGUCAAGUCCUCAUGACCCUUAUGAAUUGGGCUACACACGUGUUACAAUGGUGUGAACAAUACGUAGCAAGACCGAAAGGUGGAGCCAAUCGCCAAAUCACACCUCAGUACGGAUUGGUGUCUGCAACUCGACACCAUCAAGCCGGAAUCACUAGUAAUCGUGGAUCAGCACGCCACGGUGAAUACGUACCUGAGCCUUGUACUCCCCGCCCGUCACACUCUGGGAGAUGUAUGUAGUGGAAGUACCUAUACAUACCGUGUAUGCCACGUGUCUUGUGAACAAGACACACAUCAUACACUGUAAUCAUGGGUCCCAGACCGCAUAGAUCAACUGGAGUGAAGUCGUAACAAGGUAAC
RNAcentral lists this ribosomal RNA (682 nucleotides) under uncultured bacterium kps59rc. RNAcentral describes it as "bacterial SSU rRNA". It matches the Rfam family "Bacterial small subunit ribosomal RNA", at positions 809 to 1500 of the family's 1533-position model. The record is from RNAcentral. Lineage: Bacteria; Pseudomonadati; Pseudomonadota.